UUUCCACAAUCCCGCGUUCUCUCUAAUAUUUUCCGAAACCUAACCGCUGCCUCUCCUCCUCCUUCUAUAAUCCGUUUUCUAAUCUACAGUGACUGCAACUCCAGCCAAGGAAGCCAUUGUGACUCCAGCCGAGGCAGCUUGGCGAUUCUAGCUGUGACUCCAACUCCAACUCCUUCGGUUUCCUCUCCCAUCUCAGGUAACGUUUGUCCGUCUUCUUCCUUCUCUUCUCCUUUUAUUUUUGUUUGCUUUUGAUUUCUGCUACUACUACUGUGUUUUACUCUAUUUCGAAUGGUUCUUCGACAACCUUUUUUUUUUUUUUUGGAUGAAUUCUCUUUUCUAAGUCUGCCAAACAACCGUGCGACCACCACGAGGUUGGACCGUUGGAACCAACGAUGGGAACGAUCCUUACUGCUCGACCUAUACGAGUCUCAUCGGAGCUGUUAAUCAAGGAUACAGAGUUGUAGAAAAUGGAUAGCAAUCAUGUGGACGUUGCUUCUACGAGUGCGGUUGCAUCGGACAAUCAUCGUAUGAAACGUGGUCAGUCAAGGGGAUUGGCUACAACUUCUUUGCCAAGUGGCCAAAAGAUAAAAGUUAGGAACAAUCAUUUGUGCUUUUUUCUCUUAUGUAUUUAUAGUGUGUGAAUGUUAUGUAUCAUUGAAUACACUUUCAUAACUUGUGGCACUGCCUUAGUGAACAUUUUUAAAAAGGAUAUAGCCUUGGUCCAUUUGAGAUAAUGCCAUUACUAUGUCCAAAUGUAUCUACUAUGUUUGCUUUGAAAACUGAAUCUGGUUCACGAAAAACAUGAAAACCAUUGUCACGGAGGGUCUAGUUCCAGUUAAAAUGAGUUGGUUACCCAUCCAGUUUUUGGAUUAUGGUUAGAAUUUGAAUUUGCAAGCUAUGGUCACCAUUGAUAAACUUUUUUGUUCAAAUAUUUAUCAUGUGGUAGCUUUGAUGGAGGAGGAGGAGGAGGAGGAUUCUUGAUCUCUUCCCAUAGCACCUGACAGCUCUACUGUUUGUUAGUUUAUUGAAGGCAGCGUCUUGUUAAAUUGGGGAAAUAAUAUGGGGCCCCAAAACCUUUAGAUGCAGCCUGCAGAGGCUUUGAUCAACAUUUCACCUCAUUUCUACAAGUUAAUGGAGAUUUUUGGUUUCUUGGUGCUGAUUGGACGUUGAUUCCAGCGGUUUGGAUCUAUAUCUCUCUCGCAUCUUCAAUUCCCGAUAGAAAUCAGGUACAAUAUUAUAUAGAAGUGUGAGAAAAAAUGUUGGCAUGCGCCGCUGCUUCAAAGCAGCUCAGCGGAUCGCUUCAUGAACCAGAAAGUGAGGAGACCAUCGGUACACCAAGCACGAAGCAAACCAUCAAAGGUCUCACCGCUCAGAUCAAGGACAUGGCAUUGAAGGCAUCCGGGGCGUAUCGCCACUGCAACCCAUUUCGGGAUCGACUACACAUCAACAUCGUCCGAACUAUGCCGAGUUCGAGGCUACAUCGGCGUCGGAGAGGUUUCACGGCUCUUACCGUCAAACGGGGACGUUUAGCUCCAGCUCUACGACAAGGCUGUGGGGCAAAGAGAUGGAAGCGAGACUGAAGGGACUAUCUAGCGGUGAAGGGACGCCUCCAUCGGUUAGCAGUCAAACUGAAUCAGUAGUGUUCUUGGAGGAAGAAGAGCCGAAGGAGGUUGCACAGGUUGAGGAGGGUAUAUUUGUAUUCUAAAACUAAAACCUCUCUUAUUGUGUUAGUUUUUUCGGUUUAAAUGUAAUAAAAAAAUUUUUAAGGGGAAUGAUGUCAUAUAGGCAAACACGAGGGGAUGUUGAUGUAAAUCACCCAUUUUUAUUUUAAACUAAAUAAAAGGGUACAACA
Macadamia integrifolia is the source of this 1852-nucleotide long non-coding RNA. RefSeq lists it as uncharacterized. NCBI's taxonomy places the organism in Eukaryota, Viridiplantae, Streptophyta, Magnoliopsida, Proteales, Proteaceae. The transcript has 7 exons. The record is from RefSeq and is a predicted model, not a curated record.